Long non-coding RNA from Pezoporus flaviventris, 399 nucleotides. RefSeq lists it as uncharacterized. Lineage: Eukaryota; Metazoa; Chordata; Aves; Psittaciformes; Psittacidae. The record is from RefSeq and is a predicted model, not a curated record. The transcript is spliced from 2 exons.
CCCCCUCCCCUCAGCUUCCUUCCUUGCGGUUUGCAGUUUGCCUUCGAAGCACACAGACACAAACCCCUCUGCUCUCACAUCAGCUCACCCCAGCGAUGGUCCAGGGCUGCAAUAGGUGGAAGUGAUUGACUCACUAUGAGACUGCUGUUUUUGCCUCUGACUUGGGAUGGAGACGGAGCUGGAGGAGCAGUGGCUCUGUGGCAGGCAGGCGCUUGGAGCUUGUCACUUACCUCUCACUGCAUCCAGCCGUGCCCCCCCGCCCCGGCCGUGGGGCUGCAGGUCCUGGAGAGUUAGCUGGCGGGGGACCCCAGAUCCACUCGGGUUUCUUCCAGGACCGACGUUCGGCUGCUGCUUCUUAGGCACAGACCCAACCCCUCCAUUCCAACCACUGUUGGGGGG